Molecule: ribosomal RNA, 458 nt
Filed under: uncultured bacterium
Lineage: Bacteria
Description: partial 16S ribosomal RNA
Rfam family: Bacterial small subunit ribosomal RNA
Source: RNAcentral
CCUACGGGAGGCUGCAGUGGGGAAUAUUGCACAAUGGGGGAAACCCUGAUGCAGCGACGCCGCGUGAGUGAAGAAGUAAUUCGUUACGUAAAGCUCUAUCAGCAGGGAAGAAACACUGACCUUACGGUCAGCAGACGGUACCUGAGUAAGAAGCGCCGGCUAACUACGUGCCAGCAGCCGCGGUAAUACGUAGGGGGCAAGCGUUAUCCGGAUUUACUGGGUGUAAAGGGAGCGUAGACGGUGCGCCAAGUCUGGCGUGAAAUGCCGCAGCUUAACUGCGGAACUGCUUUGGAAACUGGCGAACUAGAGUGCGGGGAGGGUAGGCGGAAUUCCUAGUGUAGCGGUGAAAUGCGUAGAUAUUAGGAAGAACACCGGUGGCGAAGGCGGCUUACUGGAGCGUAACUGACGUUGAGGCUCGAAAGCGUGGGGAGCAAACAGGAUUAGAUACCCCAGUAGUC